CCUACGGGAGGCUGCAGUGAGGAAUAUUGGUCAAUGGACGAGAGUCUGAACCAGCCAAGUAGCGUGAAGGAUGACUGCCCUAUGGGUUGUAAACUUCUUUUAUAUGGGAAUAACAUGUUCCACGUGUGGGAUUUUGUAUGUACCAUAUGAAUAAGGAUCGGCUAACUCCGUGCCAGCAGCCGCGGUAAUACGGAGGAUCCGAGCGUUAUCCGGAUUUAUUGGGUUUAAAGGGCGCGUAGGUGGAUUGUUAAGUCAGUUGUGAAAGUUUGCGGCGCAACCGUAAAAUUGCAGUUGAAACUGGCAGUCUUGAGUACAGUAGAGGUGGGCGGAAUUCGUGGUGUAGCGGUGAAAUGCUUAGAUAGCACGAAGAACUCCGAUUGCGAAGGUAGUUCACUGGACUGCAACUGACACGGAGGCUCGAAAGUGUGGGUAUCAAACAGGAUUAGAUACCCCAGUAGUC
RNAcentral lists this ribosomal RNA (460 nucleotides) under uncultured bacterium. RNAcentral's name for it is "partial 16S ribosomal RNA". It matches the Rfam family "Bacterial small subunit ribosomal RNA", at positions 338 to 795 of the family's 1533-position model. The record is from RNAcentral.